Acanthopagrus latus (yellowfin seabream) is the source of this 977-nucleotide long non-coding RNA. RefSeq lists it as uncharacterized. The transcript has 6 exons. The record is from RefSeq and is a predicted model, not a curated record. NCBI's taxonomy places the organism in Eukaryota, Metazoa, Chordata, Actinopteri, Spariformes, Sparidae.
UCCAUGUUCCCCUGUGAUGCCACACUGUGUUCCCGACCAGUGUCUCCUCCUGCGUCUCCCCUGUUGCAUCAGUCCCCCCAGACAGGAUGACGUGAUGCUGGUGAGAGAGUUGUCUGCCGAAAGGAGUUAGACACAGGGACGGAGAGUGGCACCGCUGGAUUUUGAGACCCCAGUUAGAGAUCAACAUCAUGGCGCUGUGUGUGUGUGUGUGUGUGCGUAUGGCUGCCGGCAAGGCUGAGCACCAUAUAAAGUUUUUUUCUGAAAAGGUCCAAUGUGCACAUCGGAAGGGUCGUGACACCACCUGUCUGUCUGCUGUUUGAUGCUGAGCAGGUAGACAGACAGCGUUCGCCCCGAGGACACGGUGUUUGCCAAAAGGUGAAGCAGCACAAUGGAGCGCUCUGCCUUGGGCCAGCCAUGCCCAUUUAGCCAAGUGUCCCAGUGACGCCUCGCCCGUCACAACCCCGAAAUAAAGUGCUGGCGCACCUCCGGUUCAUUUUGACCUCAUCCAGCACUGCACGCCUGACCCUUUGCUCUUUCGGGCGUGCACACGUCCAUACCGAGCGCUCUCUAAAUCCUCGGCUCUGCCUCGAAUAGACAGCGCCACUCGCCAGCCAGCCGGAUCAUCACCAGUAAGCCUCAGAUAAUCAAUAGACCAAGCAACAACAUGCCCUUCACCAAGAAGCACAAGGUCGACCAGGCGAGCCGUCAGUUCAGAUCUGACCGGGCUGAUCAGUUUUGUUUUAUUUAACUGGAACAACACCACCGCUACAUCGACGAGCUUACUAUGAAUGCAGGACUGCACUGUGGUUUAAUCUUUCACAAAGCAGAAGAAGCUAAAGCACGACGCACGCUGCCAGUUUUAUUGCCAACAUUCCCCUUCAAAAUCAGACCAGAUGUUUAAUCUUACGUCCCCACUGCCUGUUUUCAUCUUGAUGACUACAUGUAAGGAUGUAUAAUACCCUAAUAAAACUGGUCAU